RNAcentral lists this ribosomal RNA (497 nucleotides) under uncultured bacterium. Its description in RNAcentral is "partial 16S ribosomal RNA". It matches the Rfam family "Bacterial small subunit ribosomal RNA", at positions 28 to 507 of the family's 1533-position model. The record is from RNAcentral.
GAUGAACGCUGGCGGCGUGCCUAAUACAUGCAAGUCGAGCGAACGGACGAGAAGCUUGCUUCUCUGAUGUUAGCAGCGGACGGGUGAGUAACACGUGGAUAACCUACCUAUAAGACUGGGAUAACUUCGGGAAACCGGAGCUAAUACCGGAUAAUAUUUUGAACCGCAUGGUUCAAUAGUGAAAGACGGUCUUGCUGUCACUUAUAGAUGGAUCCGCGCUGCAUUAGCUAGUUGGUAAGGUAACGGCUUACCAAGGCAACGAUGCAUAGCCGACCUGAGAGGGUGAUCGGCCACACUGGAACUGAGACACGGUCCAGACUCCUACGGGAGGCAGCAGUAGGGAAUCUUCCGCAAUGGGCGAAAGCCUGACGGAGCAACGCCGCGUGAGUGAUGAAGGUCUUCGGAUCGUAAAACUCUGUUAUUAGGGAAGAACAAAUGUGUAAGUAACUGUGCACAUCUUGACGGUACCUAAUCAGAAAGCCACGGCUAACUACGUG